RNAcentral lists this ribosomal RNA (468 nucleotides) under uncultured bacterium. RNAcentral describes it as "partial 16S ribosomal RNA". It matches the Rfam family "Bacterial small subunit ribosomal RNA", at positions 28 to 507 of the family's 1533-position model. The record is from RNAcentral.
GACGAACGCUGGCGGCGUGCUUAACACAUGCAAGUCGAACGGAAAGGCCCUGCUUUUGUGGGGUGCUCGAGUGGCGAACGGGUGAGUAACACGUGAGUAACCUGCCCUUGACUUUGGGAUAACUUCAGGAAACUGGGGCUAAUACCGGAUAGGAGCUCCUGCUGCAUGGUGGGGGUUGGAAAGUUUCGGCGGUUGGGGAUGGACUCGCGGCUUAUCAGCUUGUUGGUGGGGUAGUGGCUUACCAAGGCUUUGACGGGUAGCCGGCCUGAGAGGGUGACCGGCCCCAUUGGGCCUGAGAUACGGCCCAGACUCCUACGGGAGGCAGCAGUGGGGAAUAUUGCACAAUGGGCGGAAGCCUGAUGCAGCAACGCCGCGUGCGGGAUGACGGCCUUCGGGUUGUAAACCGCUUUCGCCUGUGACGAAGCGUGAGUGACGGUAAUGGGUAAAGAAGCACCGGCUAACUACGUG